Ribosomal RNA from Salmo trutta (river trout), 119 nucleotides. The record is from Ensembl. NCBI's taxonomy places the organism in Eukaryota, Metazoa, Chordata, Actinopteri, Salmoniformes, Salmonidae.
GUUUACGGCCAUACCAGCCUGGGUACGCCCGAUCUCGUCUGAUCUCGGAAGCUAAGCAGGGUCGGGCCUGGUUAGUACUUGGAUGGGAGACCGCCUGGGAAUACCAGGUGCUGUAAGCU